RNAcentral lists this unclassified non-coding RNA (328 nucleotides) under soil metagenome. RNAcentral's name for it is "partial contains 5.8S ribosomal RNA, internal transcribed spacer 2, and large subunit ribosomal RNA". The stretch from base 1 to 120 matches the Rfam family "5.8S ribosomal RNA", at positions 35 to 154 of the family's 154-position model. The record is from RNAcentral.
GAUGAAGAACGCAGCGAAAUGCGAUAAGUAGUGUGAAUUGCAGAAUUCAGUGAAUCAUCGAAUCUUUGAACGCACAUUGCGCCCCCUGGUAUUCCGGGGGGCAUGCCUGUUCGAGCGUCAUUUCAACCCUCAAGCUCUGCUUGGUAUUGAGUCCAUGUCAGCAAUGGCAGGCUCCAAAAUCAGUGGCGGCGCCGCUGGGUCCUGAACGUAGUAAUAUCUCUCGUUACAGGUGCUCGGCGUGCUUCUGCCAAAACCCCAAUUUUUCUAUGGUUGACCUCGGAUCAGGUAGGGAUACCCGCUGAACUUAAGCAUAUCAAUAAGCGGAGGA